UUGGNGACUGCCAGCCAGGUCAGGGUGGGA
This 30-nucleotide non-coding RNA is filed under the name Homo sapiens (human). Lineage: Eukaryota; Metazoa; Chordata; Mammalia; Primates; Hominidae. The record is from RNAcentral.